This 28-nucleotide ribosomal RNA is filed under the name Ficus racemosa (cluster fig). RNAcentral describes it as "partial 18S ribosomal RNA". The record is from RNAcentral. Lineage: Eukaryota; Viridiplantae; Streptophyta; Magnoliopsida; Rosales; Moraceae.
CCUGCCCAGUAGAAAGACCCACAGACAU